Molecule: ribosomal RNA, 802 nt
Filed under: uncultured Sphingobacteriales bacterium
Lineage: Bacteria; Pseudomonadati; Bacteroidota; Sphingobacteriia; Sphingobacteriales
Description: bacterial SSU rRNA
Rfam family: Bacterial small subunit ribosomal RNA
Source: RNAcentral
GUGGGGCAGCAGGUCCGUAGCAAUACGGAUGCUGGCGACCGGCAAACGGGUGCGGAACACGUACACAACCUUCCUUCGAGUGGGGAAUAGCCCGGGGAAACCCGGAUUAAUACCCCGUAACAUAAUGAGGUGGCAUCGCCUUAUUAUUAUAGCAGCAAUGCGCUUGAAGAUGGGUGUGCGACUGAUUAGGCAGUUGGCGGGGUAACGGCCCACCAAACCUACGAUCAGUAACUGGUGUGAGAGCACGACCAGUCACACGGGCACUGAGACACGGGCCCGACUCCUACGGGAGGCAGCAGUAAGGAAUAUUGGUCAAUGGACGCAAGUCUGAACCAGCCAUGCCGCGUGGAGGAUGAAGGUCCUCUGGAUUGUAAACUUCUUUUAUCUGGGAAGAAAUCCACGAAUUCUUUUGUGGUUGACGGUACCAGAUGAAUAAGCACCGGCUAACUCCGUGCCAGCAGCCGCGGUAAUACGGAGGGUGCAAGCGUUAUCCGGAUUCACUGGGUUUAAAGGGUGCGUAGGUGGAUUGGUAAGUCAGUGGUGAAAUCUCCAGGCUUAACUUGGAAACUGCCAUUGAUACUAUCAAUCUUGAAUACCGUGGAGGUCAGCGGAAUAUGUCAUGUAGCGGUGAAAUGCUUAGAUAUGACAUAGAACACCAAUUGCGAAGGCAGCUGGCUACACGAAUAUUGACACUGAUGCACGAAAGCGUGGGGAUCAAACAGGAUUAGAUACCCUGGUAGUCCACGCCCUAAACUAUGGAUACUCGACAUACGCGAUAUACUGUGUGUGUCUGAGCGAAAGC